Molecule: ribosomal RNA, 497 nt
Filed under: uncultured bacterium
Lineage: Bacteria
Description: partial 16S ribosomal RNA
Rfam family: Bacterial small subunit ribosomal RNA
Source: RNAcentral
GACGAACGCUGGCGGCGUGCCUAAUACAUGCAAGUUGAGCGCUGAAGGUUGGUACUUGUACCAACUGGAUGAGCAGCGAACGGGUGAGUAACGCGUGGGGAAUCUGCCUUUGAGCGGGGGACAACAUUUGGAAACGAAUGCUAAUACCGCAUAAAAACUUUAAACACAAGUUUUAAGUUUGAAAGAUGCAAUUGCAUCACUCAAAGAUGGUCCCGCGUUGUAUUAGCUAGUUGGUGAGGUAAAGGCUCACCAAGGCGAUGAUACAUAGCCGACCUGAGAGGGUGAUCGGCCACAUUGGGACUGAGACACGGCCCAAACUCCUACGGGAGGCAGCAGUAGGGAAUCUUCGGCAAUGGACGAAAGUCUGACCGAGCAACGCCGCGUGAGUGAAGAAGGUUGUCGGAUCGUAAAACUCUGUUGGUAGAGAAGAACGUUGGUGAGAGUGGAAAGCUCAUCAAGUGACGGUAACUACCCAGAAAGGGACGGCUAACUACGUG